RNAcentral lists this ribosomal RNA (469 nucleotides) under uncultured bacterium. RNAcentral describes it as "partial 16S ribosomal RNA". It matches the Rfam family "Bacterial small subunit ribosomal RNA", at positions 28 to 507 of the family's 1533-position model. The record is from RNAcentral.
GACGAACGCUGGCGGCGUGCCUAACACAUGCAAGUCGAACGGACAGGCCCUGCUUGCGGGGUGCUCGAGUGGCGAACGGACGAGUAACACGUAGGUGAACUACCUCUUUCUAUGAGCUAGGCCUGUGCAGCAAGCUCUGAUACUGACUAGAUCAUUGCUGUAAGUGGUUUGGUGGAAAGAUUAGUUUAGGUUAGGGAUGAGCUCGCGGCCUAUCCGCUUGUUGGUGGGGUAAUGGCAUAGCAAAGCGUCACCGGGUAGCCGGCCUGAGAGGGUGAAAGGCAACAUCGGGACUGAGACAGGGGGCAGACUCCGGCGGUAUGCAGCAAUGGGGAAAAGUGCACAAUGGGAACAAGCCUGAUGCAGCGAAGCCGUGUGGGAGAUAAAGGCCUUCGGGUUGGAAACACCUGUCAGCCAUGACGAAGCCCAUGUGGUGACGGUAGCUAAAGAAGAAGCACCGGCUAACUACGUG